Molecule: ribosomal RNA, 614 nt
Filed under: Penicillium molle
Lineage: Eukaryota; Fungi; Ascomycota; Eurotiomycetes; Eurotiales; Aspergillaceae
Description: eukaryotic LSU rRNA
Rfam family: Eukaryotic large subunit ribosomal RNA
Source: RNAcentral
GCAUAUCAAUAAGCGGAGGAAAAGAAACCAACAGGGAUUGCCCCAGUAACGGCGAGUGAAGCGGCAAGAGCUCAAAUUUGAAAGCUGGCUCCUUCGGGGUCCGCAUUGUAAUUUGCAGAGGAUGCUUCGGGAGCGGUCCCCAUCUAAGUGCCCUGGAACGGGACGUCAUAGAGGGUGAGAAUCCCGUAUGGGAUGGGGUGUCCGCGCCCGUGUGAAGCUCCUUCGACGAGUCGAGUUGUUUGGGAAUGCAGCUCUAAAUGGGUGGUAAAUUUCAUCUAAAGCUAAAUAUUGGCCGGAGACCGAUAGCGCACAAGUAGAGUGAUCGAAAGAUGAAAAGCACUUUGAAAAGAGAGUUAAAAAGCACGUGAAAUUGUUGAAAGGGAAGCGCUUGCGACCAGACUCGCUCGCGGGGUUCAGCCGGCAUUCGUGCCGGUGUACUUCCCCGCGGGCGGGCCAGCGUCGGUUUGGGCGGUCGGUCAAAGGCCCUCGGAAGGUAACGCCCCUCGGGGCGUCUUAUAGCCGAGGGUGCAAUGCGACCUGCCCAGACCGAGGAACGCGCUUCGGCUCGGACGCUGGCAUAAUGGUCGUAAACGACCCGUCUUGAAACACGGACC